This is a long non-coding RNA of Calidris pugnax (ruff), 276 nucleotides long. RefSeq lists it as uncharacterized. NCBI's taxonomy places the organism in Eukaryota, Metazoa, Chordata, Aves, Charadriiformes, Scolopacidae. The record is from RefSeq and is a predicted model, not a curated record. The transcript has 3 exons.
GGAUACUCCGCUGCACCACCAGCCGUACGGCACUGUGUGGAGACUGUCUGACUGUCGUCUCGGAAAGGUCUAUUUGUGGGGGUUUUUUUAAGCAAGUCUGCAUGGAAAUGUGUCACCAAUAGCCAGCUGUUUCCAAACAGUUCAGCAUUGCUGGGGUAUUUUUACUGGAUGCAGGCGGAGGGACUGAUCUUGGAAGGAAACUUCAUGUGAAGUCCCCAGCCCGUUUGCAGAUUCAUGUGCUGGUCAAUUUCUGGAUGAGAUUUCAGCUUUCUCAGG